GGCGAACGCUGGCGGCGUGCUUAACACAUGCAAGUCGAACGAUGAAGCCUUUCGGGGUGGAUUAGUGGCGAACGGGUGAGUAACACGUGGGCAAUCUGCCCUGUACUUUGGGAUAAGCCUUGGAAACGGGGUCGUAAUACCGGAUAUCGCUUACCUCCGCAUGGGGGUUUGGUUUGAAAGUUACUGGCGGUACGAGGAGUGAGCCCGCC
RNAcentral lists this ribosomal RNA (209 nucleotides) under uncultured bacterium. RNAcentral's name for it is "partial 16S ribosomal RNA". It matches the Rfam family "Bacterial small subunit ribosomal RNA", at positions 28 to 235 of the family's 1533-position model. The record is from RNAcentral.